Molecule: long non-coding RNA, 489 nt
Organism: Hyla sarda
Lineage: Eukaryota; Metazoa; Chordata; Amphibia; Anura; Hylidae
Exons: 3
Source: RefSeq, a predicted model, not a curated record
UGUUGAGAAGUAGAGAUCUCCACACUCAACAGCAGUGCCCAUCAAUGAAGGACCUGCUCUGCAGAUGCUAGAGGUGUAGGACCUCUAAUGAUGUCACAAUGAUGUGACUAGUACGUAUGGGGACAGAGAGCAGCAAGAGAAAAGAUUGCGGAUGAAGGACCUGUCAUGAUGAUGUGACAGGAGUGGGCAGAGCACAGCAGUAGGAGAGAAGAGUUUUUUUCCUAUGUAGACAGGAGCUUCACUAUGCAGCUAGGCCCCUCUCAGGAUAGUUAAGAUACAUAAAAAAAAUGAAGACCCCCAAGAGAGCAGUGCAAAAUGAGGAGGAUUAAGGUCCUCAAAGUGAUGCCAUUAUCAAUUAUUAACCAGCUUCCCCAAAGACAGAAUGUGCAGGAAGGUGAAGCCAAGUAUCUUCCACUCCUUUAUAUAACAAUGCUAUCUUUGAAGUUGGAGGCACAAGAUCUGAUUACCUGCCUAAGGCCAAGCCUUCAA